This 466-nucleotide ribosomal RNA is filed under the name uncultured bacterium. RNAcentral describes it as "partial 16S ribosomal RNA". It matches the Rfam family "Bacterial small subunit ribosomal RNA", at positions 28 to 507 of the family's 1533-position model. The record is from RNAcentral.
GACGAACGCUGGCGGCGCGCCUAACACAUGCAAGUCGAACGAGCGAGCGAGAGCUUGCUUUCUCGAGCGAGUGGCGAACGGGUGAGUAACGCGUGAGGAACCUGCCUCAAAGAGGGGGACAACAGUUGGAAACGACUGCUAAUACCGCAUAAGCCCACGACCCGGCGUCGGGGAGUGGGAAAAGGGGCCAUCGGGUUUGAGAUGGCCUCGCGUCCGGUUGGCUAGUUGGGGAGGUAACGGCCCACCGAGGCGACGAUCGGUAGCCGGAAGGAGAGGUUGAACGGCCACAUUGGGACUGAGGCCCGGCCCAGACUCCUACGGGAGGCAGCAGAGGUGAAUAUUGCACAAUGGGGGAAACCCUGAUGCAGCGACGCCGCGUGGAGGAAGAAGGUCUUCGGAUUGUAAACUCCUGUUGUUGAGGAAGAUAAUGACGGUACUCAACAAAGAAGUAACGGCUAACUACGUG